GUAGGGUGCAAGCGUUAAUCGGAAUUACUGGGCGUAAAGCGUGCGCAGGCGGUUUUGUAAGACAGUGGUGAAAUCCCCCGGGGCUCAACCUGGGGAACUGCCAUUGUGACUGCAAGGCUGGAGUGCGGCAGAGGGGGAUGGAAUUCCGCGUGUAGCAGUGAAAUGCGUAGAUAUGCGGAGGAACACCGAUGGCGAAGGCAAUCCCCUGGGCCUGCACUGACGCUCAUGCACGAAAGCGUGGGGAGCAAACAGGAUUAGAUACCCUGGUAGUCCACGCCCUAAACGAUGUCAACUGGUUGUUGGGAAUUUAUUUUCUCAGUAACGAAGCUAACGCGUGAAGUUGACCGCCUGGGGAGUACGGCUGCAAGGUUA
RNAcentral lists this ribosomal RNA (372 nucleotides) under uncultured organism. RNAcentral describes it as "partial 16S ribosomal RNA". It matches the Rfam family "Bacterial small subunit ribosomal RNA", at positions 527 to 896 of the family's 1533-position model. The record is from RNAcentral.